UACGUAGGUGGCAAGCGUUGUCCGGAUUUAUUGGGCGUAAAGCGAGCGCAGGCGGUUCCUUAAGUCUGAUGUGAAAGCCCACGGCUCAACCGUGGAAGGUCAUUGGAAACUGGGGAACUUGAGUGCAGAAGAGGAGAGUGGAAUUCCAUGUGUAGCGGUGAAAUGCGUAGAUAUAUGGAGGAACACCAGUGGCGAAGGCGACUCUCUGGUCUGUUAUUGACGCUGAGGCUCGAAAGCGUGGGGAGCAAACAGGAUUAGA
This 259-nucleotide ribosomal RNA is filed under the name uncultured prokaryote. Its description in RNAcentral is "partial 16S ribosomal RNA". It matches the Rfam family "Bacterial small subunit ribosomal RNA", at positions 524 to 782 of the family's 1533-position model. The record is from RNAcentral.